CUUUUUUUAAAUUAUUCUUUGGUCAAUUUUUCUAUGAAUGUGACAAUGAUGAACUGCAUCAAAAUCAAAAAGCCAAUUCUGAGCCUCCUCCCUUCCCCUCCACUCCUUUCCCUUUCCCUUCCCUUCUCUCCCUCCCUCCCCUUUCCUAAUUCUCAUCUCUUCUCUUGAAUUCUCUUAAAUUCUUCAAUUCCAAAUGAUACAUAUCGAUGAAAUAAAUAAGACAUUAUGCCCUGUCUGGGGAAGGAAGAGGUGUUACUGACAGUGUGAAAUGGAAAAAGAGUUUUUUUGGAACUCAGGCUAUGAACCAACUCUAAUUUGGGGCCUGAACUGAGC
This 333-nucleotide long non-coding RNA is filed under the name Gallus gallus (chicken). RNAcentral describes it as "lncRNA (ENSGALG00010015238.1)". Lineage: Eukaryota; Metazoa; Chordata; Aves; Galliformes; Phasianidae. The record is from RNAcentral.